Molecule: ribosomal RNA, 326 nt
Filed under: uncultured Cercomonas
Lineage: Eukaryota; Cercozoa; Cercomonadida; Cercomonadidae
Also listed under: 1 other name
Description: bacterial SSU rRNA
Rfam family: Eukaryotic small subunit ribosomal RNA (bases 56-326)
Source: RNAcentral
GAUUUCUGGUUUGAUGUACCUGUCCCGCUUGGGUAACCAGGUCUGUGUGACGGAGUAUGUCUGCCAUCCUUCUAGAGAAUACUUGCUAUCCUUUACUGGACUGGCGAGUAUCAUCUAGAUCUUUUACUUUGAAAAAAUUAGAGUGUUUCAAGCAGGCGUUUUGCUAUGAAUACAUUAGCAUGGAAUAAUGAGUUAGGACUUCGGUUCUAUUUUGUUGGUUUCUAGGACUGAAGUAAUGAUUGAUAGGGAUAGUUGGGGGUGCUAGUAUUCAGCGGCCAGAGGUGAAAUUCUUGGAUUCGCUGAAGACUAACUUAUGCGAAAGCAUU